AGUGAACGCUGGCGGCGUGCUUAACACAUGCAAGUCGAACGAGGACGGAAUAUAGCUUGCUAUAUUUGUCAGCUAAGUGGCGCACGGGUGAGUAAUGUAUAGAUAACCUGCCCUUAAGAAAGGAAUAACAGUUGGAAACGGCUGCUAAUGCCCUAUAUGCCUUUAAUACAUAAGUAUGCAAGGGAAACGCUUUAGUGCUUAAGGAUGGGUCUGUAUGGUAUCAGCUUGUCGGUGAGGUAAUGGCUCACCAAGGCUAUGACGCCUAACUGGUUUGAGAGGAUGAUCAGUCACACUGGAACUGAGACACGGUCCAGACUCCUACGGGAGGCAGCAGUGGGGAAUAUUGCACAAUGGACGAAAGUCUGAUGCAGCAACGCCGCGUGGAGGAUGACACAUUUCGGUGCGUAAACUCCUUUUAUAUAGGAAGAUAAUGACGGUACUAUAUGAAUAAGCACCGGCUAACUCCGUGCCAGCCGCCGCAGUAA
This 485-nucleotide ribosomal RNA is filed under the name uncultured bacterium. RNAcentral's name for it is "partial 16S ribosomal RNA". It matches the Rfam family "Bacterial small subunit ribosomal RNA", at positions 29 to 523 of the family's 1533-position model. The record is from RNAcentral.